This 778-nucleotide long non-coding RNA is filed under the name Capra hircus (goat). RNAcentral describes it as "lncRNA (ENSCHIG00010020762.1)". The record is from RNAcentral. Lineage: Eukaryota; Metazoa; Chordata; Mammalia; Artiodactyla; Bovidae.
UAUGUGUCCAAAGUGUCCACCUUCAGUGAAUGAAGUCUGCAUGCUUUGAGGUCUAAACAUCCUCUCCUGGUCCAGAGAAGAAGAGAAGUUGCUGAAACUAAUGGGCCCUUCCCAGUUCCACACAGAGUGCUUUACACACACAAUCUCAGCAGGCACUGAACACACAGCCUGAAAAGGACUCGAGUCUUCUCACCCACAUCGGGUAGGGUCUCCCUUUCAGAUAUCUGGGCUGUGUCCAGGGAUGAACUGACUCUGCCCACAGGUCCCUGCUCUGCCUGUCCUCCCACUGGUGAGCAUCUUUGUGAACAUGCUCUGAUCACCAUGCCCAGAUCACCUCUGGGGCAUAGGUCCAAUUUGGCAUCUGGAAUGCAAUUGGAUUUGUCAUAUACUUUGGAUAUGGGAUCUGACACAGCCUGGCGGGGAAUGACAAGCCACAGCCACCAGACUUCACUUCUCAGACUUGACAAAAACAUCCCUGGUGUUUUACAAAAGCAUUCUGUAACCACAGGACAUUGAUGCUGUGUGGAAUCCCUCUAGGCACUGCAGUUAUCUUCUGGUUCAAGGGACAUUUGAGUCUGUGGACUGUUGUUAUGGUCUUCUUGACAGACUGGAACCUGGGGACAGGAGUCGACAAAAAGAAGGCGAAGCAAAGAAGGACGUGGGGGACCCAAGUCUCUAGCGGAACAAGGGUACUUUAUUCAUGACAGGGUGUGCUUAUAUAUUGUUAUACAAGGAAGCUUUAGGCAGAAAAAGAAAGUUGAGUAAAAAACACCAAAAC